GACGAACGCUGGCGGCGUGCUUAACACAUGCAAGUCGAACGGUAAGGCCUUUCGGGGUACACGAGUGGGGAACGCGAGCGUGACACUUGGACGAUAUUACCUGCCCUUCGGGAUAAGGAUAGCUACCUGGGACUAAUACCAAUUGGGGAUGCGCGGUGCUUCUGGUGGGGUGGGAAGAUUUAGCGGUGGAGGAUGGGGCCGCGGCCUAUCAGCUUGUUGGUGGGGUAGUGGCAUACCAAGGCGAUGACGGGUAGCCGGCCUGAGAGGGUGACCGGCCACACUGGGACUGAGACACGGCCCAGACUCCUACGGGAGGCAGCAGUGGGGAAUAUUGCACAAUGGGCGGAAGCCUGAUGCAGCAACGCCGCGUGAGGGAUGACGGCCUUCGGGUUGUAAACCUCUUUCGGCUGUGACGAAGCGUGAGUGACGGUACCUGGUGAAGAAGCACCGGCUAACUACGUG
This 462-nucleotide ribosomal RNA is filed under the name uncultured bacterium. RNAcentral describes it as "partial 16S ribosomal RNA". It matches the Rfam family "Bacterial small subunit ribosomal RNA", at positions 28 to 507 of the family's 1533-position model. The record is from RNAcentral.